GCCUUAAUGGCGUAAUUGGAUAACGCGUCCGACUUCUAAUCGGAAGAUUGUGGGUUCAAGUCCCACUUGAGGUA
Molecule: transfer RNA, 74 nt
Filed under: seawater metagenome
Description: tRNA-Arg
Rfam family: tRNA
About the family: Transfer RNA (tRNA) molecules are approximately 80 nucleotides in length. Their secondary structure includes four short double-helical elements and three loops (D, anti-codon, and T loops).
Source: RNAcentral